AGCUCCAAUAGCGUAUAUUAAAGUUGUUGCAGUUAGAACGCUCGUAGUCGGAUUUCGGGGCGGGCCGACCGGUCUGCCGAUGGGUACGCACUGGUCGGCGCGUCCUUCCUUCCGGAGACUGUGCCUACUCUUAACUGAGCGGGGGCAGGAGACGGAUCGUUUACUUUGAAAAAAUCAGAGUGUUUCAAGCAGGCAGCUCGCUCUUGCAUGGAUUAGCAUGGGAUAAUGAAAUAGGACUUUGGUGCUAUUUUGUUGGUUUCGAACACCGAAGUAAUGAUUAAAAGGGACAGUCAGGGGCACUCGUAUUCCGCCGAGAGAGGUGAAAUUCUCAGACCAGCGGAAGACGAACCACUGCGAAAGCAUUUGCCAGGGAUGUUUUCACUG
Molecule: ribosomal RNA, 384 nt
Filed under: Chrysochromulina sp.
Lineage: Eukaryota; Haptophyta; Prymnesiales; Chrysochromulinaceae
Description: SSU rRNA
Rfam family: Eukaryotic small subunit ribosomal RNA
Source: RNAcentral